CAGUCGCCGCGGUAAUACGUAGGGUGCAAGCGUUAAUCGGAAUUACUGGGCGUAAAGCGUGCGCAGGCGGUUUGUUAAGACAGAUGUGAAAUCCCCGGGCUCAACCUGGGAACUGCAUUUGUGACUGGCUAGCUAGAGUGUGGCAGAGGGGGGUGGAAUUCCGCGUGUAGCAGUGAAAUGCGUAGAUAUGCGGAGGAACACCGAUGGCGAAGGCAGCCCCCUGGGCAAACACUGACGCUCAUGCACGAAAGCGUGGGGAGCAAACAGGAUUAGAUACCCCCGUAGUCCCUGUCUCUUAUAC
RNAcentral lists this ribosomal RNA (301 nucleotides) under uncultured bacterium. RNAcentral describes it as "partial 16S ribosomal RNA". It matches the Rfam family "Bacterial small subunit ribosomal RNA", at positions 509 to 807 of the family's 1533-position model. The record is from RNAcentral.